Molecule: ribosomal RNA, 452 nt
Filed under: uncultured bacterium
Lineage: Bacteria
Description: bacterial SSU rRNA
Rfam family: Bacterial small subunit ribosomal RNA
Source: RNAcentral
GGCCGCGGGAAUUCGAUUCAGGCCUAACACAUGCAAGUCGAGCGGGGUUUUCGGACCUAGCGGCGGACGGGUGAGUAAUGCGUAGGAAGCUACCCGAUAGAGGGGGAUACCAGUUGGAAACGACUGUUAAUACCGCAUAAUGUCUACGGACCAAAGUGUGGGACCUUCGGGCCACAUGCUAUCGGAUGCGCCUACGUGGGAUUAGCUAGUUGGUGAGGUAAUGGCUCACCAAGGCGACGAUCUCUAGCUGGUUUGAGAGGAUGAUCAGCCACACUGGAACUGAGACACGGUCCAGACUCCUACGGGAGGCAGCAGUGGGGAAUAUUGGACAAUGGGCGCAAGCCUGAUCCAGCCAUGCCGCGUGUGUGAAGAAGGCCUUCGGGUUGUAAAGCACUUGCAGCGAGGAGGAAGGGUUGUGUGUUAAUAGUACACAGCCUUGACGUACUCGCAGA